AAUAAUGGAAGAGCUGAUAAGGGACUUGAUUAAUAACAAUUUAAGGAGAAUAACUAAUUACAAUCAACAUGAGUUAAUGGAAAAUAGAUCUUAUUAAAUGAAAUUGAUAUAAUUUUUCAAGAAUGUGAUUAUAGAUUUGAUUGAUUUAGUACAUUUCAUCAACAGUGUUACGUUUGACUUCAGCGAGGCAUUUAACUUAAUGUUGUCUCAUUUAUUAGGAAGCUAAAACAAUGUAAAAUCAACACGGGCCGUGCUAAACGGAUGAGAACCCUGCUGAUAGGUUUAGACACAUCCGAGGAGCCUCCCAAGCGGCCGCCUUUCUGUUCAUCACUUUUAGCAAACGCUAGAAAAUCAAAACUCAUUACAGUCAAAGUUUGCUGAUGAGAUUUGGAGCUGGACCGUGGCUGCAGUGUGGAUGGGUCUCUGCCUCAGAGCUGCGCUGCUCCUGAGCCAGGGGGAUGUGAGUGAGCUCCAGCUGCUUUAACACAAAGCCACGCUCCCAGGAACCAGGAUUUCACUGCAGGGAGGAGGGAUCCUCUUACACAGCGCUGGAAUCCUGAUAAAACAGUGGAGUGAAAUACCUCUGGAGGAACACCUAAUGGGACACUGCAGCUAUUUCUGGUGCCUGUGACUCUGGAAGGAUGGUGAUGAACGGGAGAGGGCACACGGGAAUGACUGAGGCGUCACAAAACAUGCCUUACAGUGACAGACUCAAGGACCCCAAUGUGCUUAGCUUAACAAAGGGAAGGCUAAGAGAUGGCUUAAUGACAAUCCAGAUGUAUUCAGACAGGGUACAGGGAUGCAGAAAGGGAGAGCCCUUCAAUCUAACAGACAGAGCGAUAAAAAGAGCUGGUGACUGGAAGCUGACGCUAUUAAAUUCCAUCUGGGAAGGGUGUUUGGAGAGAAAUAACACCAGAACAACUUCCCUACAGAUGGUUUCAUCAUCAUUGGCCAUUUCUAACUCAUGCUGGCUUUUUUUCCUUUUGGUUUUUUUUAAGCCAUAAUCUUGAUCCACCAAAGAUCACUGUGAAUCGACACAGGCACGCUCACUGCACGAAUGGGAUGGGCCUUUUUUGAGUUUUAAUCUUCUUAAUAAUGAGUAUUUAAGCCACCAUCCUCAAGCACUGAGUGGAACCAUUCCCUUUUCCCAGAGUUAUUGUUCUGGCCUUGGUGGGCACUCACACAGACACCUCAGUGUUAUUGGUACUUCAUCUUUGCCAGCAGAGAGGCUGGAAAAGUCCUCUAAAACCCCAUAAAACAAACCUGGCCUACAUCCCCCUGCUAUAAAAAAAAAAAAAAUCCAAAAUACAGUGCCAAAGAGAGCAGCUCAAAGCUCAAAGUACACGAAGAACUUGAAUUCCAGUGGUUCAGUAAAAUCCUGCUGCUCCCCAUCUGCUGCCAUAGCUUGAUGGACUUUUCAGGGAAAUGACACAUCCGUGUUCCUUAAGAGUUGCUAAAAUUGUGAGUGGAAAAGGUGUAGUUUCAUAACAGACUCAUCCAUACCCAGGAAAACACAGAAUGAGAGAGUGCUGCAACCUUGGGGACUUUCUGCACGAGCUCCAUCAUGUCCCUGCUCUCUGGUUUGGAAGAUGCUGAAAUUUCUCCUUCCAUGGAAAUUAUUCAGCAGAAGUUCCAGCUACAGACCUUCAAUCAGAAACUCCAGGAGCCAGGCAUGGACUUCUCCUGGGACUGGUCUGCAAGACCCAGCUGAUGUCUCACUGUUCAUCCAGAUGUACUUGGGGACCAAACAGCAGCCCAAGGACCUUCCUGCAGCCACUGCACAAGGUACGUGUGCCUGAUGGUUUUAAUUUGCUGCAGGAGUCAAGUGCCAAAGUGAAAGGAGUUUGCAGUGGCAACUCCUUCAUUUUAAACUAUUUUCUUGUGUAAGGAAGGUCCCUCAUGUCCUCUGUCUCCCUACAGCAGUCAGAUCGUACUCCUCUCCUGAAGGCCAUGCCUUUGCACAUCACUCUGGUAAGAGCAUAUUCAGGGCUCUAAAUUUGUUUUAAAAUACACUUCCUAACUUAGAGAUUUCCUGCAGAAAGGCAGAGGAAAAAAGCUGCUUUGGAAAUGUUAGGAAGAAGCAGCAUUGACUCAUCAGUGAUAUGAAUGGGGAAAGCCAGAGGGACCUUCUCAUCUCUAAUGUGAUUUUAUGAUUCAGUGAAUAAUGCAUAUUAGCAUAAUACUAACUAAAAAAAUCCAUACUCAUCAUAGAAUCACAGCUAUCAACAUUAUCCUAUUAUUAAUUAUUAACAUUUACACUAUCAAUCAGCCCCUGGCUGACUGAUAGCUUAAAAUCUUGCAUAAAGAUGGUUACAACAAUAGCCACACUACAUCACGUAAUGUGCUUCACAGUCGGGCUGUGAUAUCCUCAUCUAUAAAGCUUUUUACUAAUGCACUUUACAACAUAUCUUACAGUACAUAGAUGAAGAAUGUGGCUGCACCCAGUAAUAAUUCCAUUAAUUAUGAAUAAAGCAUUUACAAAUGACAUCCUUAUUUAAAAUUAGUGAUGAACACAUUUUGGUUUAAUGCAGAUGCACUGUGUAAUUUGUAAUUGGAUAAAAAGCAAUGCUGGCAGCAUGGGGUAGGGGAAAAGGGCCAAGAUCUUAUGAUCUUUGCAUCAGCAAGGAAAGGGGGGGAAAAAAACAGUGGAGAAAAUGAUUGACAAACAACAAAACAUUGGCAUAAAGCUGACCAAACUCCAAGGUGAUGGUUGAAAGCAAUGAUUAAAGGUGCCCUGCAGAGCUGAAAGGGAAAAAUCCUUACCCACUGACCUUGCACUGCAGUUGUGUUAAUAAAAUUCACUCCUAUAUUAAUAAAGUCUAUAUUUUCAUUGCUUUCUCUCAUUUCAGUGUUUUCAGCUGGCUGGCAGCUCACCAAGACUCGUUAGCCACAUCCAGUUUGCCUUUGCAGUACCUUGGUACCGCUUUGUCCUGUAGGCUCUCGGAGAUGGCAGAAUAUUUAUUACAUACAAUAUUUCACUGAGGCUACUUACGUCAAGAGGCUAUAAAUACAUUACUCUUCCCAGUUUACUUAAGGGAUAAAAAGUGAGUAGCUAAGUUUACAGAGCAGGCUCAGGCUCUAUUAAUGUGUGGUCUGUUCAUUUUCAUAUAGAUCUCAAUUGUUUGAAAUUAUUUUCCAGAUUAAUCCUGUGAGUGAUUCUUGCCUUGGUGAUCAUUUCCGAGCAAUGCUGCUCGACUUGGGCAGUGGUCAUAUUCAGGUUAUUACAUGUAUUAUGGAAGAAAGGUUAAUUUAAACUGUGAAUAUUUAUGUGGUCAUAGUUUUCUACUGAGAGCCUUGUGCCAAGAACUUCUUAUACUGAGGUUCAACUAUUUCAAUGUGUCCCACUCAGGGAUGCAAAAAUCCCAGCAGUUCACCUCUGGCCACACUGGUAUGGGAACAAGAGCUUUGGUGGUCAGGAGAAAGUCAGAAAACUCCUUUUAGUUUCUUUUUCCCUGAAUUUCCCCAUUGUUUACAGCAGUCUGGAUCAACAAGAUGCCUGGAUAAUGCACAGGCCAUGGUGUCAUGUGUCUGUUAGCACGGAGCCAGAGCUGUGCAUGGUGCUGCGUGCUGAGGUUCCGCAGACUCAGGGAGUCAGAGAGAGGCCUGGAUCCAUCACAUAAAGUUAAGGGGGAAAAUUGCCUUGGGAGGGAUCUAGUUUUGGGUUCAGGCAGAUCUUUCUGCAUAUUUUCCAAGGAGAUGAGAUUGCAAGCCAGAGCUAAGCUAGUCAGGAAUUCUGUCUGAAUUAUUUUCACAUUCUCUUUUGAUGUCCUGUCCAUGGGUGAUACCUAGUGCAAUGCAUGACACCUGACAUGGCCCUUUCCCCAUAUUUUCAAGUUAAUAAAUGUAGUAAAAAAUAAUAUACAGUGUUUAUUGCCAGGACUGUCAGGGAGGACACUGCAUUCCCCCUCUUCUCCAAACCCAGGGAGUGUAGGAGAUGCUGCUGUAAUUACAGGUCUCCUUGUGCAAGACUGCUUUGAAAUUCCCAAUAUUUCUCCAAACCACCAGCAAGUCGGUUUUCAGAGCUGCCUGACAGAGAAUUUAUUUAUUAAGGUCUUGGCUGUUUGCAGCAGUGGCUGGGCAGCAGCAGUUCCGCAGAGUUAUCAAAAAUCUAUUUCCUUGCAGAGUCACAAGUAAAAUAUCAAACCCCCUUUGAAAAGCCAAGUGCAACAUUUACAUUUUAAUCUCCCCAAACACUUUCGUUUCUGACAAACUGGGUUUUUUGGUCUGUGUGUUAUGGAGAGGAGAGGCAGUGGGGCUGGAGGAGGAAGGUUUAUAGCCCUGGGAGGAAGUGUGGGCUGCUUUGAGUGUGUGACACUGCUGGAGUGGCAUGGUGACCUCCCCGUGCACCGGGACUGCAAGGACUGUCACCCUUCAGCACUGCUGGGGCCAGGUGAGAAAGAAAAGCAGCCUGGCCCCAAAAUCUAGCAGUGCAGGGCAUCAAACACAGAGCUGGGUUAGCAACUACAUUUGCACAUGUAGAAAAGGAGGAGCAGUAGCCCUGUGCUGGGCACAGCCUCUCCUGGCUACCAACAGCCCGCAUGGGGGGUCAGUGGCCACUUGCAGCCACUGAUCUAUAGAGGCAAAAGCCUUUAUUUCACUGUCUGUUCACACCUCUGCCUGGGGUUAACUGGGCUGAAGUGGAGCAGCUGGCUGGACCCCAGCUCUACAGUUUGUGGUCUGGCAACAAAAGCCGCUCUGCCUUUCCCUUGCUGUCAGCGGGGCUGAGGUCCUGCGCUGCCUCUGUGGAGUCGCUGCAGCAAGCCAUGAAUUAUGGAUGAAGUGAAAAAUCCCAGCCUGGUGCACAGAGGGAAUAUGCAAAGUGCAGAGCGAUCACCUUUGUGUGUGAGCCUUGCUUUGUGCCACCUUCACACGCACGAGGCCCAAAACACUCCGCUCUGCUUCGGCUGCGACACCCUCGGCCCACAGGGCCCAGGAUUCCCUCCUCCUGAGGGAUCUGCUUCUGAAAUGAUGUUCAUUGAUUUGAAAAGCACGUCCUGGUGCUUUGUGGGAUGUUCCUGGGAGCUACUGAGGGUGCUGUGUGGAUGAGCUGUGUGGAGCUCACACUCAGAGGUGCAGGCACGGGCAGGACGGGUGUCUGGGACAGGCUGGCCCUGGGCAAAUCUGCCAUGGUGCCAUGGGCAACUCCUGCACAUCCACUCCAGGAGAGCUCCUGAGCACAUGAACACACAUUUGCAGGUGAGGUGAUGCAGGAGUUCCCACCCAGGCACGGCCUUUCCACACACAGAGGAUCCCUCAGGGGAUCUGCAGAGGCGACAGCUCCCACCAGAGCUCCCUUUGCUUGAAGCAAAGCAUCGGAAAAGCGCUUGACAGGCUCUGACUUCAAGAGUCUGUGAUUUGGGGAAGUCUUUCUACUCCUAACUUCUCCUUCAGAGAGAAGAUGCCAUUCAGGAGGCAUUUUUAAAAUGUCUUUUAAUUUUUAAAUGCUUUAGGUCCUCCUUUGCCAAUCCAGCUCUCUGCUUUUGUGCACCAUCUAAUAAUGUGCUUCCACACAGCCAUUUCUGAGUGUGCAAUAUCAACAUCUGGGCUAAAAUCAAGCAGAAAUUUUUCCCUGAAGCAAAAUUUUGCUCUGUAUUAUUGUUACUUUUUUUUUUUCCUAUUUAAUGGUUUGCUUGUCAUGGGGCCUCUUCAGCCUCUUAUUUUCAGGAAAUGAAGGUUCUCUGCCUCUCGCUCCUUGUCAAAGACACCCUGGCAGGCGAGAGCAGCAUUACCCUUGUCCCACCUCCUAAAAGCAUUUUACUGAGUGCUCACUAAAACUGUGCUGCAGUUAAACACCCCACUGAACUGGGUGCCUGAUAUGCAGCAGGUUGGCAGAAUUAAUUUAUUGGUGUUAGUACAGCCUUUUGAACUUCUCCUGCUACGUAGGUGUCAAUGAUGAUAAGAAGAAUAAAAAUAUUAUUUUAUUAUUAUUUGUAUUGUUAUUCUGACUUUCCAUCAUAGCCAAUGAUGAACAUUCCCCUGUGCAGGUAUUUAAGCUAUCCUGUGGGAGACUCUUUGUUCUUGGUAUGAUUAUUUUAAGAAGUCCUUUAGCACAUCAAAUCAUCAAAUAAUUUCCCUAGGCAAGGAUUUAUAGGAAGGUCUUGAGAGCUGUCAGAGUAAUGAUUUCCAGCAGUGAAAACUUAACCUUCUCUUUGAUUUUCAUUUCUGUUUUGUCCUGGGUGUAGCUGCAGUGAGUGCUUGGUCACAGCCAUCAGGAUGGAGGAGAUGUGCUGUCAGUUGUUUUAUUUUUGAUCCCAUUUGAAUGUGUCAAUCAACUGCCUCGAAUCAAAGAAAGUGAGAAGGAGCCUUUAACUGUUGUGAUUGAAAACUUCAGACUUACCUUUUUUUUCUUAUUUUUAUAGACACUAAGUAAAUGGUUGGCAGGUUCUUGUGAAUCAUAACAUUUCUAAAUAUAUCAAAGAGGCUCUUUGCCAAGCUGCUGGAGAAGGUGGUGUCUAUUCCUAUUGACUCCUUUCUCCCCUUCAGAUUACUUUUGCAUUUAAUAAUUUCAAAUCAUAACACAAAAAAUUAGAGACUCUUAACUAGGCUGGCUAAGGCUGUGAUUAAUGAAAGUGUAAUUCAAGCUACUGUAGAGCUAUUAGAAACCAGUUAGCUAAUUAGUGUAAUCACAGAGGUGGAAAUAAUUAAGAGACCAUAAAAUAGAGGUAACCUAAUAACAACAUUUUCCUCUGACCCAGAACUGGUGAGAAAAGGAUGGUUUGUUAGGUUAGGAAGGGAGAGGAGUGAGGAUGGAAUGUUCUGCAAGUAAUCACUGUCAGGGAGGUCUCAGAGCACAGACAAGUAGAACAGAGCAGAUUUUACACCAACAUAAUCCAGACUGCAGCAGAAUCCUCUGGCAAUGGUGCUUCACACCUCUGCAUCCCUCUCCCAUCUUAUGCACUGCCACAAUUCAGUGACAGACAAUCAAGACACGGUGAGGCAGGAACUGGCUGCCUUGCUCUUUCUUACUUUGUCCCUUUUCUUCUUUCCCAGGUUAUUAGCAAACAUAAUAUUAAAACUAACUUCACCUUGCAGUGCCUGAGUUGACCAGGUUUGGUUUCAGGAAAAGGAGAAUCCUAAGGUGUUUAAGAAGAAAAUCCUGUUAGAGGAUUCCCUGUAUUUAUAGAGUUCCUCAUGUAUUUAUGUAUGUUAUUCACUACAGUUUCACAGGACUCUACAGCUGGUUGAAACAUCUCAUGCUAAGAGGGAAGAGUCUCUCUGGGCAGAGGAGAAUGGUGCAGUGAUUGGUGAGGGUGGCAGUCACUUCCAGAGCUGCUCACAGGAGAUGGGUGCCAAGCAGAUGUGUCUCCCCUUAAACCCUCCUCUGCUGCCUUUGCCCCCAGGGCAGCACUGGCACACUGGAUCCUGAACAACCCCAAAAUGUGUCCCAGUGCUCCCCAUGCAGGAUUUCCAGGCCAAUGAGAGAUGUGGGACAAUGUCAUGGGCUGGAUCUCACUCCUGGUGUUCGAAGUGACCUACCCCUGGCUGCUGGAUGAAACAGGCAAUAAAAAUUCUUAACCUGUAAUUUUCCAGCUGGAGUGGGUGACCACCACGACCAUCUCCAUUGGUUCUUAGCAGUUCUGCCACGGUUUGUGUGUGUUUCGUUUGACCUGGGUCUAAUGAGCACAGAAGAGGAGCUGCAGACACACAAUCAAGGCUCAGCCGCCGAGGCUGAUGAGUCUGCCGAGACUGCUAAGUGGGUCUUCAUUAGCAAUUCACAUGCGAGGAGCAACCCUUAUUUAUUCUUCUUUCCUAGGUGAAUCUAUUUUUGAAUAUCUUUUGUAGUGAUCUUGUCUGGGGAGGGUGGCGGGGAGAUUGGAUGGAGGGCACCACCACUGCUGGUUAACUGGAUUAUUGUCCUGGAAAAACAGGCUGUGACACCAAGCUGGCAGCAAGCUGCAAAGAAGAAACAAUGUGAUGCCAUUUAGAGAAGGAAGAAAUCAUUUUCCCCAGUGACAUCUCUGGUGAGAGGCAGAACUUUAUCUUCUCUUUGCAGCUCAAAUGAAGCAUCACAGCAGUAGCAUUAAGUAUGCUUCCACGUUUCCAGCUUGUCUUUUCAUUAACUUUUUUGGGUUUGGUUUUUUUUGCUGUAGCAGGGAGCACACUUUCCAGGGAGGGUUUGUGGGUGAGUCACUGGAGCUGCAAGGCCAGGAUGUCCCAGGCUGGUCCCCAGGCUGUGGCACAUGUGCUGCUGUUGCAGCCAAAUGGAUGAGCCUGGUGGUCUGCAGGGAAGAAGGGAAACCUGAUUUAUGUCCACCUUUCUGGUGGAGAGAGGAUUUUGGAGCAGCAGGUCACAGUGAGCCUUGCUCCACGUGUGCUUUCAUCCCCCCAGCUCAGACAUGUGGAUCACCUGGGAUGUCCUGGGACAUCCUGAAGGACACCGAGCGGGCAGUGCUUGACCUCCGGCAGCACCAGUGGCUCCACGUUUCAUGUGAACGAGCCCCUUUUCCACACUGGACACUUAAACGCUCUCCUUUAAGCUUUUCCUCGGGCGGGGCUGGGCCGGUGGGGUGCGGAUCCUGCCGCCCUCACCUGCCUGUGGCGAAGGCUGCCCUCUCCCGACGCCGGGAUCCGAGGGAUGCUGUGGCUGAGCCGGGCCAGCAUCCCCCGGCAGCGCCCACCCUGCUCCCCGCGGCACCGUGCCCUGCCCAGCCCGAGGAAAAGCUGCCAGCCAUCAGCACAGAGCAGCACCCAGAUGGCCUCGGGCAUCCCCCGAGCUGCCCCAGCACCGCCUGCCUCCGAUGCUGGAUCCAACCUGCAUCCCCUCUGGCACCAUGGGGAUGCUGCUUGAGGAACCUCCUGCUGAAUUGCUUUUUACCCAUCCCAGCCCUUCCAAACGUGCUCGGUACCUUUUUCCUUUUUGUUUCGUUUUUAUAAUUUGGUAGUGUAGGUGUGAAUCCCGUACUCUGAGUUAUCUUUCCCCAGCUGAGUCUGUUUGUGCUGCAGACUGUGUGGGUGACACCCUCGGGAAAGCCACGUUUAGCAGCACAUUGCUCCAGGAAAGUGUUUUUAUAUGAACAGAGAUGUGAGACAAACUCUUGCACCUCUGGGGUUGGCAAACUGCUGAUCCAUGAGAGAUGAGUUUUUUUUCCCCCCUUGUGAUUUUGACCUUACUUGCUGAAAGUGAAACAUCACCCAGCCUUCCAGGAAAUACCACAAAUCUUCUAUCUGAUAUAAGAACAUAAAUCUUCUGUAAGGGUUCAUCCAUUCUGUAUCUCAGGCCUCUGGAACUGAGGUGUGGACACUGGAGUGGGAAUCUCAGCCUCCUGGACCCAGGGCUGCUGAAUCUGAGCCCCUGCACCUCCCCAGCCUGGGGAAAAACAUCCCCAUGGGUUGGCCCUUACUGAGCUGGUUCUGCACCUGUACCUCAUGGAAAAAGGGGGGGAUUUGCCUGAAUCACCUUGAGCCUUUUAUAUUUUUAUGGGAGACAUGAAACUCUUCCCCUCCAGCUCUGAGUCUGGCUGAAAUAAAACACAGCCUAAAGCAACCAUCUGUCCAUGCUUCAGGCUCCCCAUAUCUCCUCCUGGGAAAGGCUGCAGAGGUGUGGGGCUCUGCACCCCACGCUCAGCAGGGCAGCCCCAGCUCACACCUGCAAGAACACAUUUCCUGAGAGGAUGCCUGCGGGUCCCUGACCUUGUCUGGGCACAAGCCUCUGUGGGUUUUGCCCCCACCCUGCUUUUUGGGGGGCCACAGAGGCCUUUCUGAGAAGGCAGUGGAGCAGCCAUGGGGUUAUUUGACCAGAAGAGGUUAUUUGUGGGAAGACGUGGCUGCAAAAUUUUCCACCCCCCACCCUCCAUGCGUGGUUUAGGAUGUUCUUUUGCUCAAGAACUUUGUGCUUUUACUUCUGCUCCCCCUGGGCUGUAUCCUUCAGUGUGCAAACCUCUUUGUUUCAUGGCUCUUCCCCAGAGAAAGAGCAUCCCAAACCCCAGUGGACCUGGGGAAGGCUCGGAGCCACCUUUGCACUUUGGUGUGUGUCCCUCUGCAUCAGCUCGGUGACAUUCCCAACCCUCAUCGUGCUGGGGAUCAUGGCUUUGACUGAGCCCACAGUGAUCCCCCUCCAAAAGCUUCAGAAAGUGAAAGUGUCCUUUUUUCUGCCUGGGCCACUUUUCCUUGUUUUACCACUAGAUGGGAGAGUGAGACUGGGCUAACUCAGCUGCUCCCCUCCUUACCCCGGCAGGAAUUCCGAGGGGAGAAGAGAGCUGACAGAUGCCCGAAAGUCAUCCCGCAAAUCCUCCCACCCCAGGAAGGGAUCGGGUAACUCCCAAAACGUCUGGUUGUUGCUUAACCCCAAAAGUGCACAGUCGAGGGGCUCUAAAUCUUUCCUGGUGUUUUCCCAAAAUACCAGGAGCCCCGUGGAUCCCACUCUGCCCUCAUGGAAGGGGGGUUCACUUAGACAAAGAUUGGAUAUAUUCUUGGGGCGAAACAUUUCAUAUUUUUCCUCAAAUCCACCUGUCCUAGAGCAGAGGGAGAUAGGGGCAGCACUUGUAAUUCAGUCCUCUCAUCCAUACCCCAGAUCCUGCAUCCCAGGAAUCCAGGUGACCCUAAAAAUUGUAUGGAGAGGUUAGAAAGUCAUAGAAUCACAGAAAAAUUAGGGCUGGAAGUGACUUUUGGAGAUCAUCUAGUCCAACACCCACCAGAUAAAUAUAAAUAAAGCAUCAUUUUCUCCUCCUUUCCUACUACAGGAUUUUCUUUCUCCUGUAGGAUUCUUGUGUAAGGAUCCACCCAGUGAUAUCAUUUUCCUGCAGAAAAUGAAACUGGGCUGUUGCAAUGAUUGCAUGUGCAGGAGGACAAUUCAUGCCUUGGUCUGACACAGCUCACCCUGGGAGCUGCUGUGGGUGAGGGAGGGGACAGCCCCUGGCCCAUUAAUGUCUUAGUAAAUUUGCUUUAACUGCAGCACUUCCCAGCUCCUGAGACUGCCCAAGGUUUUGCUGAGACUGGGUUUAUUUGGGAAUUAUAUAGCUGCAGAAGCGGUUUCUCAACCCAAUCAGAUUGUCCAGUUGGACUACUUUUAUUAUUGUUAGGUUUGGGGCUUUGAAAAGGAACAUUUUGCUUCCUGAGAUUUCACAGAUUUUGCAAGAAACCUCACAGCAGACAAAUUUUCCGACUGCCUGUGUGACUAGACCAGAAGAUGUAAUCCCUGUAAAGUGGAAAUUAUGUUUCUGCAGGGUUUUGCCCACUGCCCAACCUUCUAAAUUUGCAAGUUCUUCAGAGAAGUGACUCAUCUUAUGUGUUUAAUUCCUGGUAUAGUUGGGCAAGGAGAUGAAAUAAUUCUAAUAACUUCCCUAACUGCAGUACCCUUGUUGCCUCCAUUGGGGUCUCCUGGCUUUGCCACCACAGGAAACAUCUGACACUAUCCUGCUAGACAGAAAGAACAGCUUCUUUAGAAGACAAAGUCUGAUUUUUUACUGGCUCUAUCUACUCUUAUUUCCCAUAAGCAACAGCUGUCCCACCCUGGAUGUGCAAUGAGGCCACUGAGUCACCAUGGAGUGACCAGCUCAUUUACCUGGCAGGGGAAGACCAAAAAUCCCCUCCAUUAAAAAGAAGAGGAAUCUUCCUUCAGUUAAUAAGCAGAGGUGAAAAAAGAAAAAAAAA
Molecule: long non-coding RNA, 11589 nt
Organism: Parus major (Great Tit)
Lineage: Eukaryota; Metazoa; Chordata; Aves; Passeriformes; Paridae
Exons: 2
Source: RefSeq, a predicted model, not a curated record